GCCUACGGGGGGCAGCAGUGAGGAAUAUUGGUCAAUGGGCGCGAGCCUGAACCAGCCAAGUCGCGUGAGGGAAGACGGUCCUAUGGAUUGUAACCCUCUUUUGUCGGGGAGCAAAAGACGCCACGCGUGGCGUUCCGAGAGUACCCGAAGAAAAAGCAUCGGCUAACUCCGUGCCAUCAGCCGCGGUAAUACGGAGGAUGCGAGCGUUAUCCGGAUUUAUUGGGUUUAAAGGGUGCGCAGGCGGAAGAUCAAGGCAGCGGACAAAUUGAGAGGCUCAACCACU
RNAcentral lists this ribosomal RNA (283 nucleotides) under uncultured bacterium. RNAcentral's name for it is "partial 16S ribosomal RNA". It matches the Rfam family "Bacterial small subunit ribosomal RNA", at positions 337 to 617 of the family's 1533-position model. The record is from RNAcentral.